This is a long non-coding RNA of Mirounga angustirostris (Northern elephant seal), 944 nucleotides long. RefSeq lists it as uncharacterized. The record is from RefSeq and is a predicted model, not a curated record. The transcript is spliced from 4 exons. Lineage: Eukaryota; Metazoa; Chordata; Mammalia; Carnivora; Phocidae.
GGACCUGUCAGCCUCCAGGGAGCCAGGAUCCCUCGGGCCAGCCUGAGAGCGGGCGUCCUCCUCUCGGACAGGGGCAGGCGUCCACCGGGGAAUGUGAGAAGUGCCCUGGGAGAUGAGCUCGUUCAGGAGCAGAAAUGUGAAUUCCUGGCCUAAGAUAAGAGCAGUGACCACUGCUGUUUCACCAACAAGACAUCAUUUUAACACCUGUCUCAGAGCCGUGACACACGAGUGCAUGAGCAAUGAUUUGGCAUUUCACUCUUUGGCCCUGCGUUUGAGAUUUCAACCUCAGAAGUGUGGGCUUGCCUGGGACAUUUCAAAAGAAGGCAUCUUUCAGGAAAAAACACUUGACAUAAUCCAGCACCUCUUCGUGACAAAAACACUGAACAAGCGAAGAAUAGGAGGGAACUUCCUCAAGCUGAUAAAUCACAGUCAGCAUCAUGCUCAAUGCUAGAAGAUGGAAUCCUUUCCCCCUGAGAUCGGGAACAAGGCAACGUCUGCUCAACAUUGUCCUGGAAGUUCUAGUCCUGGCAGUUAGGAAGUAAAAGAAAUAAAAGGCCUCCAGAUUGGAGGACGGGAGUCUGUGCCCAGUUCCGGAAUUGCCAGGGAAAGAGCCACUGUGGGACACUCAUACAGGAAAAACAUCAUGUGAAGAUGAAGGCACAGGUCUGGGUGAUUCCUCUAUAAGCCAAGGAAUGCCAACGAUUACCAGCAACACCAGAAGCUAGUAGAAAGGCAUGGAGCAGAUUCUCCCUCAAGCCCUCAAAGGAACCAAUCCCGCCAACACCUUGAUUUCAGACUUCAGGCCUUCGGACUGUGAGGGUGCAAGCUGACCAGAGAAUGGCCUUCGAUGCUCAAGGGACCACUGUCUGAAGUCCAAGACACGGCCUUUGUGUUCUCUGCACAAAGACCCCACCACCACCUUCUGGGACCCCACACACAAAGGG